This 404-nucleotide ribosomal RNA is filed under the name uncultured bacterium. RNAcentral describes it as "bacterial SSU rRNA". It matches the Rfam family "Bacterial small subunit ribosomal RNA", at positions 355 to 776 of the family's 1533-position model. The record is from RNAcentral.
UGGGGGAUAUUGCACAAUGGGGGAAACCCUGAUGCAGCGACGCCGCGUGAGUGAAGAAGUAUUUCGGUAUGUAAAGCUCUAUCAGCAGGGAAGAUAAUGACGGUACCUGACUAAGAAGCUCCGGCUAAAUACGUGCCAGCAGCCGCGGUAAUACGUAUGGAGCAAGCGUUAUCCGGAUUUACUGGGUGUAAAGGGAGCGCAGGCGGCAGGCCAAGUCAGAUGUGAAAACCCGGGGCUCAACCCCGGGACUGCAUUUGAAACUGGUCGGCUGGAGUGCGGGAGAGGCAAGUGGAAUUCCUAGUGUAGCGGUGAAAUGCGUAGAUAUUAGGAGGAACACCAGUGGCGAAGGCGGCUUGCUGGACCGUAACUGACGCUGAGGCUCGAAAGCGUGGGGAGCAAACAGG